AUACUCAGGAGAGUCUCUUUUCUUUUCCCAGGCUGAAUGAGCUGGAAGGUCUGGAAAAGAGCGCCGAAGGUGUAAGCGUUGUCGCUGAGCCGUUUUUAAAAUGAAAAGCGGAGCGAAAACGUGAGUCUCUCAGGCAAAAGGAUGGAGGUAUAA
Molecule: non-coding RNA, 153 nt
Filed under: uncultured Mediterraneibacter sp.
Lineage: Bacteria; Bacillati; Bacillota; Clostridia; Lachnospirales; Lachnospiraceae
Description: Glycine riboswitch
Rfam family: Glycine riboswitch aptamer
About the family: This family represents the bacterial glycine riboswitch. Glycine riboswitches usually consist of two metabolite-binding aptamers domains with similar structures in tandem. The aptamers cooperatively bind glycine to regulate the expression of downstream genes.
Source: RNAcentral